This 465-nucleotide ribosomal RNA is filed under the name uncultured Ralstonia sp. RNAcentral describes it as "bacterial SSU rRNA". It matches the Rfam family "Bacterial small subunit ribosomal RNA", at positions 338 to 795 of the family's 1533-position model. The record is from RNAcentral. Lineage: Bacteria; Pseudomonadati; Pseudomonadota; Betaproteobacteria; Burkholderiales; Burkholderiaceae.
CCUCCGGGCGGCAGCAGUGGGGAAUUUUGGACAAUGGGCGAAAGCCUGAUCCAGCAAUGCCGCGUGUGUGAAGAAGGCCUUCGGGUUGUAAAGCACUUUUGUCCGGAAAGGAAUGGCUCUGGUUAAUACCUGGGGUCGAUGACGGUACCGGAAGAAUAAGGACCGGCUAACUACGUGCCAGCAGCCGCGGUAAUACGUAGGGUCCAAGCGUUAAUCGGAAUUACUGGGCGUAAAGCGUGCGCAGGCGGUUGUGCAAGCCCGGUGGGAAAGCACGGGUCAUAGCGGGGGAAUUGCAUUGGGGAGUGCACGGCUAGAGUGUGUCAGGGGGGGGAAGAAUUCCACGUGAAGCAGUGAAAUGCGGAGAGAUGUGGAGGAAUCCCGAGGGCGAAGGCAGCCGCCGGGGAUAACAAGGACGCGCAGGCGCGAAAGCGUGGGGAGCAAACGGGAUUAGAUACCCGAGUAGUC